GGAGCAGCUUCUGGAGAGACCGUUCUGUUAAAAACGGCACCGAAGGAUUCACAAUCUCAGGUAAAAGGACAGAAGAUCAACC
RNAcentral lists this non-coding RNA (82 nucleotides) under Niallia circulans. RNAcentral describes it as "Bacillus circulans Glycine sequence". It matches the Rfam family "Glycine riboswitch aptamer". From Rfam's summary of the family: This family represents the bacterial glycine riboswitch. Glycine riboswitches usually consist of two metabolite-binding aptamers domains with similar structures in tandem. Lineage: Bacteria; Bacillati; Bacillota; Bacilli; Caryophanales; Bacillaceae. The record is from Rfam by way of RNAcentral.